AGAGAGAGUUCAAGAGUACGUGAAACCGUUCAGGGGUAAACCUGAGAAACCCAAAAGAUCGAAUGGGGAGAUUCAUCGUCAAUAUGUUUAAUAUUAAUAUAUAUUAUGAUAUUUUAAAUUUUUUAAUUUUAUAUUAUUAAAUUUUUUAUACAUAUAUAUAUUAUUUUAUUGUUUUACAUUGUCGGCGUGCACUUCUCCCCUAGUAGGACAUCGCGACCCGUUAGAUGUUGGUUUACGACCAAAUUGGGUAGCCUUUAUAUAUUUUUAUUAAUAUUAAAGACCAAAUUGUGUUUUCUAACCAAGUAUUUGACGGUAAUCGUAUGGUAUUAAGUCGCAUUUUAAUAUAUUUUUGCGUUCUCUACCCGUCGCAAGCGAGGCCUUUUUUAUUAGUUUACAGACUUUGUGCUGUCUAUUAAAAAUUUGGCCAGCUGUUGGCUGUUUACGGUGUUCUAGAACUGACUUAUUUAAAAAAAAUACCUGUCGGCGAUGCUAUUGCUUUGGGUACUUUCAGGACCCGUCUUGAAACACGGACCAAGGAGUCUAACAUGUAUGCAAGUCAUUGGGAUUAUUUUUCAUUUAUGAAAAAUAAAUAUAAUUAAACCUAAAGGCGUAAUGAAAGUAAAAAAUUAUACUUGUAUAAUUAAUGGGAAGAUGAUUUAUAUUACGAUAUAAAUUCGCAUUCCCGGGGCAUCUCAUUUUUAUAUAAUUUCGGUUAUAUAAAAAGAGGUGCACCUAGAGCAUACAC
This 745-nucleotide ribosomal RNA is filed under the name Euaphidius setiger. RNAcentral describes it as "partial 28S ribosomal RNA". It matches the Rfam family "Eukaryotic large subunit ribosomal RNA", at positions 380 to 807 of the family's 3401-position model. The record is from RNAcentral. Lineage: Eukaryota; Metazoa; Arthropoda; Insecta; Hymenoptera; Braconidae.